ACAAAUAUUCUACGCGGACAAUGUAGCGACACGAGACACGCAAAUAGCGAUACAUGCUCUAACACCCUCGAGCUUUUAUCAAUUUCACGAGAGAAAAAAAAGUAGGCCAAUCGAAAAUAGUGCUCGAACUAACAGCCCGGCUAUUUACGUCUCGAAUGGAACUGACAAAAAAAGAGGCAGAGCAGCAGUGCCGAAAACAAUACGAAUUCGCGUAAUGGACAAGCGCACAUCGACGAGCAUCAUAAAAUGGAUCGGGAGGGGAUCGUUUGUAACUUUAGCCCGGCGCAUAGCGGCGUUUAUGGGAGUUUUUGGUUCAACACGUGCAGCAACGGUAUAUAGCUGCGUGUAUGCAGCGGGCGAGCGGUAAAAUUCAAUGCACGGAAUAGAGAGGCCUUUUGGAAAACAGGAAACGGUGCACUUUCUGCGUAUGCAAAUUGAUAUAAAAAAAGUCAUGAAUAUUUUACAUUUAACUCUGAAAUAUACGAUUCAACUUUGUAGUAAUUAUCGCAUGCAAUUAUCUCAUUUUCCAAAUAUAGCGAUCCAAAUGAUCAGCGUCAAAUUUAUCUGUCGGAUAAUUACACCAUCAAUCGAGACUCUAAUCAGUUGAUGGAAAGUGUGUUUGUUACGUUCAGCCAAUCAAUGCCCGCAAAAUCUCAUUUGGCAUGUAUACUGACAAAGGGCCACAUCAACGCAAAAACAAAAGCGGACGGCUCUCCAUAAGCAAAGCGCAUUUCACAAGAGCAACUGGCACACAAAGAGCUGCAGCCCUGCAAUCGUGUCCCCGGGGGCAGCAAAAUUCGAAUCUGUGCUAUCGCGUUUCAGCGCCAGCUGAACGACUCUGUUGACGUCGUUUGUUCAAGUCCCGCAAUUACAAACGAGCGACGAAAGCUGCAUCGGUGUACAAUAGACUUGUGGAAAGAGAGGAGAAACAAAAGCAGAAACGAUUGUCGGCCGAGGGCAGAGACUCUGUGGUUCGAACUUGUCGCGUCUACUGCUGUCGACUUUAGGUACCUGCAGUAUUCUGCUCUUGUUGUUUCUCCUACUUUUCUGGGAACCGACUUUUGCCUCCGCGUAUUUUUCUCUGCACCAAAGUUUCGCUCUAUUGAUUAUUGACUGUGCCGGGGUGAACAUUUCCCGGUGGUUGUAGAUACUUUUCACUAAAUUCAUUUAAACGACUAUCGAUCACCCGUUUUCAUUAGUUAACGGAUCACCAUUUUUACUCACAUUAUGUGCAAACAGCUUUAUCGCAUAUGCGUCAGUCUUCGGUAUACUUGUGGUCGAUCGCGUCAAAAUUUUACAAAUUUAUUUUCUAACGGAUAAUAAUAACCUGGAUUUCGAGCUGUACUCGCUGUGACGCGCUAACAUAAUGAAAUAUCGAUGCGUUCCGAAUGUUAUUAUUCCGAACAUUAUUAUCGACGAGAACACAUAAAUGCAUGAUUAAUCGUCAAUCGCAUCAGCGAGUAUUCGAUUGUCAUCGCCAUUCGAUAAUAGAGCUGUAGCGAAAUAAAUUUAAUUAAUUAAAA
This is a long non-coding RNA of Nasonia vitripennis (jewel wasp), 1523 nucleotides long. RefSeq lists it as uncharacterized. The transcript is spliced from 2 exons. The record is from RefSeq and is a predicted model, not a curated record. NCBI's taxonomy places the organism in Eukaryota, Metazoa, Arthropoda, Insecta, Hymenoptera, Pteromalidae.